AGUGAACGCUGGCGGUAGGCCUAACACAUGCAAGUCGAACGGCAGCACAGUAAGAGCUUGCUCUUACGGGUGGCGAGUGGCGGACGGGUGAGGAAUACAUCGGAAUCUACUUUUUCGUGGGGGAUAACGUAGGGAAACUUACGCUAAUACCGCAUACGACCUACGGGUGAAAGCAGGGGAUCUUCGGACCUUGCGCGAUUGAAUGAGCCGAUGUCGGAUUAGCUAGUUGGCGGGGUAAAGGCCCACCAAGGCGACGAUCCGUAGCUGGUCUGAGAGGAUGAUCCGACACACUGGAACUGAGACACGGUCCAGACUCCUACGGGAGGCAGCAGUGGGGAAUAUUGGACAAUGGGCGCAAGCCUGAUCCAGCCAUACCGCGUGGGUGAAGAAAGCCUUCGGGUUGUAAAGCCCUUUUGUUGGGAAAGAAAAACAGCAAGUUAAUACCCCGCUGUUCUGACGGUACCCAAAGAAUAAGCACCGGCUAACUUCGUG
This 492-nucleotide ribosomal RNA is filed under the name uncultured bacterium. RNAcentral's name for it is "partial 16S ribosomal RNA". It matches the Rfam family "Bacterial small subunit ribosomal RNA", at positions 29 to 507 of the family's 1533-position model. The record is from RNAcentral.